GGAGAACGCUGGCGGCGUGGAUUAGGCAUGCAAGUCGAACGGUAUCAUCCUUUCGGGGGUGAGAGAGUGGCGAACUGGUGAGUAACACGUAGGUUAUCUACCCUCAAGACGGGACAACCCAGGGAAACUUGGGCUAAUACCGGAUGUGAGCAACUUUUAGUUGUUUGAAAGGUGGCGUAAGCUGUCGCUUGGGGAUGAGCCUGCGUCCUAUUAGUUAGUUGGUGAGGUAACGGCUCACCUAGGCAAUGAUAGGUAGGCGGCCUUAACGGGUGGUCGCCCACACUGGGAUUGAGAUACGGCCCAGACUCCUACGGGAGGCAGCAGUCGAGAAUAGUCUACAAUGGUCGGAAGACUGAUAGUGCGACGCCGCGUGAACGAUGAAUCCCUUCGGGGUGUAAAGUUCUUUUAUAUGUGAGCAGUGCUUCUUAUAUUAACAGUAUGGGGAGAGAGAUAUUAGCAUAUGAAUAAGCAACGGCUAACUCCGUG
RNAcentral lists this ribosomal RNA (486 nucleotides) under uncultured bacterium. RNAcentral describes it as "bacterial SSU rRNA". It matches the Rfam family "Bacterial small subunit ribosomal RNA", at positions 28 to 507 of the family's 1533-position model. The record is from RNAcentral.